Molecule: long non-coding RNA, 426 nt
Filed under: Equus caballus (horse)
Lineage: Eukaryota; Metazoa; Chordata; Mammalia; Perissodactyla; Equidae
Description: lncRNA (ENSECAG00000054319.1)
Source: RNAcentral
UCUCAUUAUUGUCAUCACUCUCAUCAUCAUCACACUCAAGAAGGAACUUGAAAAACAGACUUCCUCAUCAGCUGUCCUUGUCCAGGAAAGACAGAAGAGGACUUAGACCAUCAGCGCUCCUGGGUCUCAGGUCUGUGGCCUUGGACUGGAACUACACCACCAGCUUUCUUGGGUCUUCAGCUUGCAGAUGGCAGAUCGUGGGACUUCUCAGCCUCCAUAAUCAUCGCCUUGCACAACAUGGGCAAUCAGUAAAGGCGAAGUGCUUGUUUCCUUUGUUGAUGUUGGUCCACCAAGAGCUUGCUUUAUCUCGUGUGUGAAGAGUCCCUGUGAGCACACAACAAGAUGGCAGCCGUCUGCAAGCCAGGAAGAGAGCUCUCAUCAGAAACUGAAUUGGCUGAACCUUGAUCUUUGACUUCUAGCCUCCAG